GACGAACCGUCCUAACGUUGUUCGGAUUCACUGGGCUUAAAGGGCGCGUAGGCGGCUUGCCAAGUCAGGGGUGAAAUCUUUCGGCUUAACCGGAAAAGUGCUUCUGAUACUGGCGAGCUGGAGGGAGGUAGGGGCAGACGGAACUUCCGGUGGAGCGGUGAAAUGCGUAGAUAUCGGAAGGAACGCCGGUGGCGAAAGCGGUCUGCUGGAUCUCUUCUGACGCUGAGGCGCGAAAGCCAGGGGAGCAAACGGG
This 253-nucleotide ribosomal RNA is filed under the name uncultured bacterium. Its description in RNAcentral is "partial 16S ribosomal RNA". It matches the Rfam family "Bacterial small subunit ribosomal RNA", at positions 524 to 776 of the family's 1533-position model. The record is from RNAcentral.